UACGUAGGGGGCAAGCGUUGUCCGGAAUCACUGGGCUUAAAGGGCGCGUAGGCGGGCUGUCAAGUCUGGGGUGAAAUCCCACGGCUCAACCGUGGAACUGCCUUAGAUACUGACGGCCUCGAGGGAGAUAGGGGCGAGCGGAACUGUGAGUGGAGCGGUGAAAUGCGCAGAUAUCAGGAAGAACACCCGUGGCUAAGGCGGUUCUCUAGUACGGUACUGACGCUGAGACGCGAAAGCGUGGGGAGCGAACAGG
This 253-nucleotide ribosomal RNA is filed under the name uncultured bacterium. Its description in RNAcentral is "partial 16S ribosomal RNA". It matches the Rfam family "Bacterial small subunit ribosomal RNA", at positions 524 to 776 of the family's 1533-position model. The record is from RNAcentral.